Molecule: long non-coding RNA, 387 nt
Organism: Cyprinus carpio carpio
Lineage: Eukaryota; Metazoa; Chordata; Actinopteri; Cypriniformes; Cyprinidae
Source: Ensembl
UUGUUGUUGUUAUCUCUGCUGUUGUACUUUCUGGUGUUGUUGGCUCAGUUGUUGUGAUAUCUGGUGUUGUGGUAGCUGUGGUGGUGCUUUCUGCUGUUGUAGUAGUAUCUGUUGUGGUGCUUUCUGUUGUUGUGGUUUCGGUUGUUGUAAUUUCUGUUGUUGUAGUGUCUGCUGUUAUACUUUCAGGUGUUGUGAUUCCGGAGGUUGUACUUUCUAUUGUUGUCUCAGUUGUGGUGCUGUCUGUUAUUAUUGUUGUCUCUGCUGUUGUACUUGCUAAAGUUGUGGUACCAGUGGUUGUACUUUCUAUUGUUGUCUCAGUUGUGGUGCUUUCAGUUGUUGUUGAAGUUUCUGCUGUUGUACUUGCUAAAGUUGUGGUAUCGGUGGUGG